Drosophila willistoni is the source of this 1324-nucleotide RNA transcript. RefSeq lists it as uncharacterized. The transcript is spliced from 8 exons. The record is from RefSeq and is a predicted model, not a curated record. Lineage: Eukaryota; Metazoa; Arthropoda; Insecta; Diptera; Drosophilidae.
AGAGAAGUAGGCAUUGCAAGUAAUGUAGAAUAAAUUUCGUUUUUCUAGACUUUUAGUUCAUUCGAUCAGAAAUUUAUCUCAAUACUUUCUAUAAAAAUUUUGUAAACGAAAUUAUUAAUUAGUGUAAAAAUGUGUAAAUCUUCUCCAAGGCAAAACGCUUUUAUAGUGGGCUAUAUGGCGACGAUCUUUAGUGGCAUUGGCAUCGGAUGGAAUGCAGUAGAACUGGCCAAUAAACAUGAAACAUUAUUGGUUCUCGAAAUCGCGGCAUGGAUAAUCACAAUCGUCGGUGCUUUUUUUCUUCACGUUGGAGUUAUAAAGGAAAUCAAGUUGCCACUAAUAAUAUGGAUCGUAAUAGCUAUUGUAUGCGGAAUUUUUCUUCUUAUAGUACGGGGUUUACAUCUAUCUAGAAAGUGGCAUAAAUCUGAGACCCUUUAUAUAACUUUCAAAAUAAUAGAAAAUCUCAUACUUAUAAUUCUCACUAUCGUAUAUGUUCUCUGUCCAUAUUUAUACAUAAUUAAUCUCAACGAAAGUGGAAAAUAAAUUUUUUGAAAUUUCAUUGUGAAAGAAAUAAAUACUCAACUUUAUCUAUUCAGUUGUGAUUUACACCCUUUCCAUAAUGCAGCGCAAUGUUCGAUUAACAUUUGAAGUUUUCGAUAGAAACUGUAUGUAGCAGGGUUGAUUUGGAUAAAUUCAAUAAUUGAUAAGGUGAUCAAAUGAGCUAUUAUUAAGACUGUUGGAUGAUUUAUCGUCAUGCCUUCGAACUAUCUGAAUAUAAUGAGUAUACUAAAACUAAGUGUCUUGGGGAACAGGUCUCUAAACUUUUCCACAUAAUGUUUUGGGAUUCGAAAACAAAAUACGAGUGUAAAAAUGUGCAAAACGACUCCAAGGCAGGAUGCUUUUAUAGUGGGCUAUUUGGCAACGAUCUUCAGUGGUAUUGCCAUCGGAUGGAAUGCAGUAGAACUGUCCGAGAAACAUGAAUUAUUAUUAGUUCUCGAAAUUGUGGCAUGGGUAAUCACAAUCGCAGGCGCUCUUUUCCUUCACGUUGGUGUCAUUAAGGAAACCAAGAUUCCAAUUAUAAUAUGGAUCGUAGUUGCUUUCAUAUGCGGAAUUUUUCUUCUUAUAGUACGGGGUAUACAUUUAUCUUAUAAAUGGAAUAAAGCAUCGGCUGUUUAUAUCACUUUCCAAAUAUUAGAAAAUCUGAUACUAAUAAUCCUCACUGUCGUGUAUGUUGCGUGUCCAUAUUUAUAUGUUAUGGAACUCAACGAAAUAGAGCAAUAAUUUGAUGCGAAAUGCCGUUGUAAAAUAAACAUUUCACUCUAUCCGA